RNAcentral lists this ribosomal RNA (848 nucleotides) under Micromonospora sp. M71_S20. RNAcentral describes it as "bacterial LSU rRNA". It matches the Rfam family "Bacterial large subunit ribosomal RNA", at positions 1 to 802 of the family's 2925-position model. The record is from RNAcentral. Lineage: Bacteria; Bacillati; Actinomycetota; Actinomycetes; Micromonosporales; Micromonosporaceae.
GUGGUCAAGUUGUCAAGGGCGAACGGUGGAUGCCUUGGCACCAGGAGCCGAUGAAGGACGUGGGAGGCCGCGAUAGGCCUGGGGGAGCUGUCAACCAAGCUGUGAUCCCAGGGUGUCCGAAUGGGGAAACCUGGCUGGAGUCAUGUCCAGUCACCCACACCUGAAACCACAUAGGGUGUGUGGGGGGGAACGCGGGGAAGUGAAACAUCUCAGUACCCGUAGGAAGAGGAAAACAAAUAGUGAUUCCGUGAGUAGUGGCGAGCGAAAGCGGAUUGAGGCUAAACCGGCUGCGUGUGAUACCUGUCAGGGGUUGCGUGGUUGGGGUUGUGGGACCCUGCUGAACAAGCUGACACUUGUUCGAGAAGUUACAAAGCCAGUUGCUAGCCGAACAGUCUGGAAAGGCUGACCGUAGGCGGUGAGAGUCCGGUAGGUGAAAGUGGCUGGUCUUCUGUGGGUGUUCCCGAGUAGCGGCGGACCCCUGUAAUCUGCCGUGAAUCUGCCAGGACCACCUGGUAAGCCUAAAUACUUCCUGGUGACCGAUAGCGGACGAGUACCGUGAGGGAAUGGUGAAAAGUACCCGGGAGGGGAGUGAAAUAGUACCUGAAACCGUUCGCCUACAAUCCGUCGGAGCCUUGCGGGGUGACGGCGUGCCUUUUGAAGAAUGAGCCUGCGAGUUAGUGGCAUGUGGCGAGGUUAACCCGUGUGGGGGAGCCGUAGCGAAAGCGAGUCUGAAUAGGGCGUUCAGUCGCGUGUCCUAGACCCGAAGCGGAGUGAUCUAGCCAUGGGCAGGCUGAAGCGCGGGUAAGACCGCGUGGAGGGCCGAACCCACCAACGUUGAAAAGUUGGGG